This 1822-nucleotide long non-coding RNA is filed under the name Equus caballus (horse). Its description in RNAcentral is "lncRNA (ENSECAG00000048537.1)". The record is from RNAcentral. Lineage: Eukaryota; Metazoa; Chordata; Mammalia; Perissodactyla; Equidae.
CACCUCCUUUUGGUACCUGCACCCUCAUUCUGCUUCGAGAGCUAGCCCUCUCCUGUUCCGUGCAGUCUUGGCGAGAGUGUCAAGCAAAGAACCCUGGUCCCCAGCUGAGAGCUGGACUCAUGCCUGAGGCAUGGCCGGGCUGACUCUCCAGCGGUUUGACUCCUGAGCAGAGGGACGAAGGUGAAAGAAGACGCCUUAUGUGGCUCCAGAGGACUGUCAGAGCUGUUCAUUCAUUCCUGCUCUGGGCUCCCGCACAGCCCUGGUUACUGGACCCUGAGGCAUCCUGGCAUCCCGUACUCCCAACAAUCUUGUAAAGUACGCUGGAGUUGCACUGACUCCAGUGCUCGUAGCAACAAACGGCGGCUGACAGCAUGUCCUGGGAGUCAGAGGGUAAAAUAGGUUCCUUGACAUUUUCAACUUGAUGAGAGCUUUCCUGCCUGCGGUCUGAAAAAGGCUAGUCAGGAAUGAAGCCACUGGAACCAAGUCAACAAGAUAAUGUAGACAGAAGAAUGAACAGGGCACUGGCCUCAAGCUCACGGGGCGUUCACAGGAGCAUGUGACUUCUCACCACCAUAGAAGGCCAGCUGCUGGAAGUGGUUACCAAGAGCCAAAAGUUUCCAGUGAGGCUUAUCCAAGGGAUGGAAAGAAAGGAGAUCAGAGCAAAAACGAACGAGCGAAAACAGGAGGCGUGUUCUACACAAUGCCCAUCACAGCAGCUGACGUUUAGCCUCCGCAGAAUUGUUUUCUGAGUGGUGCCUCUGCCGUGGCUUCUCAGUGGAUUAAACAGGAUUUAAGUCUCUGAGGACUCCUCCGAGUUGCUCGCUCCCAGCCAACCAUAGCUGAUAAAAAGGGGAAUUUUCACCAACACCGUACCGUAGUUGAUAGCUUGAGAUUCCGUUUAAAACAUUUUUUUAUUGUGGCAAGAUGUACGUGACAAAAUUUGCCAUGUUAAGCGUGCAGUCCAGUGGCCUCAAGCACAUUCACAUUGUUGUGUAACCAUCACCACUGUCCUCCAGAACUUUUUCAUCUCCCCAAAGCGAAACUCUGUUCCCAAAAACACUCACUCGCCAGCCCCGCCCCAGCCCCUGGCAACCACCAUUCCACUCUCUGUCUCUGUGAAUUUUCCUCUUCUAGGUAUCUUAUAUAAGUGGGGUCAUACAAUAUUUGUCCUUUUGUGUCUGGCUUAUUUCACUUAGCGUAACGUGUUCAAGGUUCAUCCAGAGAUUAUUUCUGAUCAAAUAUAUCCAUGUCACAAUGGAAUUAGGUCCGUAAACGUGUCGGUCUCAUUUCAGUUAAACAAACACGCAGGUGACAGAGUGCGCUGCGUUUCCCUGGAGCCUCCAGACAGUCCUGUGGGGUGGGUUGGUCUGGGGGGGCACACAUUUAGUCCUGCUGUCAGCAACAGCAUCCUCCUAGAUGCUCAGUCCAGAAACGUGGGUGCCACUGUGACUCUUUCCUCUUCCUACCCGGACGUUUAAUUGCCCAGUAAAUCUUACUGAUUCCACUUCUCAGAUGGCUCCCUAAAUCCUCCUCCUCCAUCACUGAACUAGGCUCAGUUCAGAUCACCAUCUACUCCCACUUGGAUCAGUGUCAAAGCCUCCCAAGCUGCCUCCCUGGGUAUCGCUGCCGUCAGUCACUAUUUCAUCGAUUCGUUCAACAAAUAGCAUACGGCGUGAACAUUUCUCGUCAGGCACUGAGCCGGCCUGUAAAGUUACAGAGUCUUCUGAACAGGGUUUUGAGCUGUUUGUCUCAAAUAAAUCUGAUUUUACACGCGUAUAUCUGAUUCUUAAACCCUGACUUUCCCAGUCCUCUCACUGCCUUC